ANACGCUGGCGGCGUGCCUAAUACAUGCAAGUCGAGCGGACCAAAGGGAGCUUGCUCCUGGAGGUUAGCGGCGAACGGGUGAGUAACACGUGGGCAACCUGCCUGUAAGACUGGGAUAACAUCGAGAAAUCGGUGCUAAUACCGGAUAAUAAAAAGAACUGCAUGGUUCUUUUUGAAAGAUGGUUUCGGCUAUCACUUACAGAUGGGCCCGCGGCGCAUUAGCUAGUUGGUGGGGUAACGGCUCACCAAGGCGACGAUGCGUAGCCGACCUGAGAGGGUGAUCGGCCACACUGGGACUGAGACACGGCCCAGACUCCUACGGGAGGCAGCAGUAGGGAAUCUUCCGCAAUGGACGAAAGUCUGACGGAGCAACGCCGCGUGAGUGAUGGAGGUUUUCGGAUCGUAAAACUCUGUUGUUAGGGAAGAACAAGUGCCGUUCGAAAGGGCGGCACCUUGACGGUACCUAACGAGAAAGCCACGGCUAACUACGUG
Molecule: ribosomal RNA, 492 nt
Filed under: uncultured bacterium
Lineage: Bacteria
Description: bacterial SSU rRNA
Rfam family: Bacterial small subunit ribosomal RNA
Source: RNAcentral